GUGGGGAAUAUUGCACAAUGGGCGAAAGCCUGAUGCAGCAACGCCGCGUGAGGGACGACGGCCUUCGGGUUGUAAACCUCUUUUAGUAGGGAAGAAGCGAAAGUGACGGUACCUGCAGAAAAAGCACCGGCUAACUACGUGCCAGCAGCCGCGGUAAUACGUAGGGUGCAAACGUUAUCCGGAAUUAUUGGGCGUAAAGAGCUCGUAGGCGGUCUGUCGCGUCUGCUGUGAAAACUGGAGGCUCAACCUCCAGCCUGCAGUGGGUACGGGCAGACUAGAGUGCGGUAGGGGAGAUUGGAAUUCCUGGUGUAGCGGUGGAAUGCGCAGAUAUCAGGAGGAACACCGAUGGCGAAGGCAGAUCUCUGGGCCGUAACUGACGCUGAGGAGCGAAAGCGUGGGGAGCGAACAGGAUUAGAAACCCUUGUAGUCC
Molecule: ribosomal RNA, 430 nt
Filed under: uncultured bacterium
Lineage: Bacteria
Description: bacterial SSU rRNA
Rfam family: Bacterial small subunit ribosomal RNA
Source: RNAcentral